RNAcentral lists this unclassified non-coding RNA (283 nucleotides) under Hevea brasiliensis (rubber tree). Lineage: Eukaryota; Viridiplantae; Streptophyta; Magnoliopsida; Malpighiales; Euphorbiaceae. The record is from RNAcentral.
AUGGACGGCGAUCUUCGGGUCAAUCCCGUUAAGCUGCGGCCAGAUCGAUACGACGCUGGCCCACUCGACCUCCGGAUAGGCCAGCAGCUCGAAUGCUGUCCGGCGCUGGCCAUCGUGGUUCAGCAUCAGACCGUGCUUUGCGGCCUCGUUCGGUGUUACGGAGAGGGAUUUCGCCAGUGAUUUCGCGGUGUUAAGUUCGGCCAUCUUGGCAGCGUGACGCCCUGCCCGUUCGCUGCCGACGCAUCCCAGGGCAAUGCCCCGUUCGGUCAGGCGCUGAUCGGCA